UACAGAGGUGGCAAGCGUUGUUCGGAAUUACUGGGCGUAAAGGGCGCGUAGGCGGUUCGUUAAGUCCUGUGUGAAAUCCCCCGGCUCAACUGGGGAACUGCACAGGAAACUAGCGGGCUUGAGUUCGGGAGAGGGAAGCGGAAUUCCGGGUGUAGCGGUGAAAUGCGUAGAUAUCCGGAGGAACACCGGUGGCGAAGGCGGAUCUCUGGGCCUUACCUGACGCUGAGGCGCGAAAGCUAGGGGAGCAAACAGG
This 253-nucleotide ribosomal RNA is filed under the name uncultured bacterium. RNAcentral's name for it is "partial 16S ribosomal RNA". It matches the Rfam family "Bacterial small subunit ribosomal RNA", at positions 524 to 776 of the family's 1533-position model. The record is from RNAcentral.